UACGUAGGGGGCAAGCGUUGUCCGGAUUUAUUGGGCGUAAAGAGCGUGUAGGCGGCCAGGUAGGUCGGUUGUGAAAACUCGAGGCUCAACCUCGAGACGUCGAUGGAAACCAUCUGGCUAGAGUCCGGAAGAGGAGAGUGGAAUUCCUGGUGUAGCGGUGAAAUGCGCAGAUAUCAGGAAGAACACCUAUGGCGAAGGCAGCUCUCUGGGACGGUACUGACGCUGAGACGCGAAAGCGUGGGGAGCGAACAGG
Molecule: ribosomal RNA, 253 nt
Filed under: uncultured bacterium
Lineage: Bacteria
Description: partial 16S ribosomal RNA
Rfam family: Bacterial small subunit ribosomal RNA
Source: RNAcentral